This 303-nucleotide long non-coding RNA is filed under the name Hordeum vulgare. RNAcentral's name for it is "long non-coding RNA (HVUL_LNC006485)". Lineage: Eukaryota; Viridiplantae; Streptophyta; Magnoliopsida; Poales; Poaceae. The record is from RNAcentral.
CUUGUCGAUGUCCACAAACAGGGCGUCUCUCUUCACCCCUAGGACGCGCAACCGCCAUCGCUCGUGGCGGAUCUGCAGGCGCAACGGUAGGAUAGAAGCAACACCAGCUACUUAUCCAGGAAGCCCGAACCGUCUGCCAUCGUAGUCGUGACGACAUUGUUAUCCACUUGGUCUUCGGCAAUUUGUUCCUCCGCGAGAUUCGCAUCAAGCACUGCACUGAUUCAGUUUUUUUUUGACAAAUAUGGGCUUCAGAUUGUUGUCUCCUUGAGUGUGUGCGGGAUGUAUAAGCACAAAAAACAGUGC